RNAcentral lists this non-coding RNA (892 nucleotides) under Hygophum proximum (lantern fish). RNAcentral describes it as "partial 12S ribosomal RNA". It matches the Rfam family "Bacterial small subunit ribosomal RNA", at positions 307 to 1533 of the family's 1533-position model. Lineage: Eukaryota; Metazoa; Chordata; Actinopteri; Myctophiformes; Myctophidae. The record is from RNAcentral.
ACCCCUGUGAGAAUGCCCUCUAACUCCCACCCGGAAACGAGGAGCAGGCAUCAGGCUCACCCCACCCUGCCCAAGACGCCUUGCUUAGCCACACCCCCAAGGGAACUCAGCAGUAAUAAAUAUUGGGCCAUAAGUGUAAACUUGACCCAACUACGGUUAAUAGGGCCGGUUAAACUCGUGCCAGCCACCGCGGUCAUACGAGUGUUUGCCCAAGUAGACAAUUACCGGCGUAAAAUGUGGUUAGGGAACCCCCAAGUUAAUAGAGCAGAACUGCCUCCGGGCUGUUAUACGCACCCGACAGCGAGAAUUCCUAGCACGAAAGUCGCUCUAAUCCAACCUGAACCCACGAGAGCUGGGGAACAAACUGGGAUUAGAUACCCCACUAUGCCCAGUCGUAAACAUUAAUAGGCACCUUACAAAGCCUAUUCGCCAGGGAACUACAAGCCUUAGCUUCAAACCCAAAGGACUUGGCGGUGCUUUAGACCCACCUAGAGGAGCCUGUCCUAGAACCGAUACCCCCCGUUCAACCUCACCACUCCUUGCCCAACCCGCCUAUAUACCACCGUCGUCAGCUUACCCCGUGAGGGGAUUACAGUAAGCUAAACUGGCACUGCCCAAAACGUCAGGUCGAGGUGUAGCGCACGGAGUGUGCCAGAGAUGGGCUACAUUUUCUGACCCAGAAAACUACGAAAGAAGACUUGAAAAAUCUUCAGAAGGAGGAUUUAGCAGUAACUGGGGAAUAGAGCGCCCCACUGAAACCGGCCCUUAAGCGCGUACACACCGCCCGUCACUCUCCCCAAGUCUAUUUCACAGCAACCCUAUAAUGCCAGCUUGACAAAGGGGAGGCAAGUCGUAACACGGUAAGUGUACCGGAAGGUGCACUUGGUCAACA